GAGUUCGGGUCCCCAGGGCCCAACUUCCAACCCUUUGUUUAUCUACCCUGUUGCUUUGGCGGGCCGCGGUCCACGCGACCCCGUCGGCCCCGGCUGGCGAGCGCCCGUCGGAGGCCAAUCAAACUCUUUUAACCGUGUCGUCUGAAGAAAAAAUAAAUAAGCAAAAACUUUCAACAACGGAUCUCUUGGCUCU
RNAcentral lists this unclassified non-coding RNA (193 nucleotides) under rhizosphere metagenome. RNAcentral's name for it is "partial ribosomal RNA internal transcribed spacer region". The record is from RNAcentral.